GAUCAUGGCUCAGGAUGAACGCUGGCGGCGCGCCUAACACAUGCAAGUCGAACGAUUAAAGCACCUUCGGGUGUGUAUAAAGUGGCGAACGGCUGAGUAACACGUGGGCAACCUGCCCCUCUCAUUGGGAUAGCCACGGGAAACCGUGGAUAAUACCGAAUACUUCGAGACUUCCGCAUGGAAGACUCGAGAAAGCUCCGGCGGAGAGGGAUGGGCCCGCGGCCUGUUAGCUUGUUGGUGGGGUAAUGG
RNAcentral lists this ribosomal RNA (249 nucleotides) under uncultured bacterium. RNAcentral describes it as "partial 16S ribosomal RNA". It matches the Rfam family "Bacterial small subunit ribosomal RNA", at positions 15 to 263 of the family's 1533-position model. The record is from RNAcentral.